RNAcentral lists this ribosomal RNA (62 nucleotides) under Lespedeza fordii. RNAcentral's name for it is "partial 26S ribosomal RNA". It matches the Rfam family "Eukaryotic large subunit ribosomal RNA", at positions 1 to 61 of the family's 3401-position model. Lineage: Eukaryota; Viridiplantae; Streptophyta; Magnoliopsida; Fabales; Fabaceae. The record is from RNAcentral.
GAGACCUAAGGUCAGGCGGGGUUACCCGCUGAGUUUAAGCAUAUCAAUAAGCGGAGGAAAAG